GGUAAAUUUCAAUCUUCAUUUUCAUUCUUCUUUAUGGAUGCCAAAACAUUGUUUUGCAGAUUCAAGGCAAGGUCAACAAUAUAACUAUUCACAAAUAGAGCAAUUUUCUUAUAGGUGCAUUUGAGGUUUGUGAUCGGUCAAUGCCUACUUAUAGAGCAAUUUUUUUAUUGUUUUUUGUGUGUAGUUUUUAUUUAUUUAUUUAUGUUGAGUACGAGAUAGGUCAUCUUACAAUUACAAAAUUAUCAAGAAUUUUAAAUAUAAGCAUUGAGCUGGCCAA
Glycine soja is the source of this 277-nucleotide long non-coding RNA. RefSeq lists it as uncharacterized. Lineage: Eukaryota; Viridiplantae; Streptophyta; Magnoliopsida; Fabales; Fabaceae. The record is from RefSeq and is a predicted model, not a curated record. The transcript has 2 exons.